ACGGCAGCACGGGCGGGGGUAACCUCGCCUGGUGGCGAGUGGCGAACGGGUGAGUAAUAUAUCGGAACGUACCCUGGAGUGGGGGAUAACGUAGCGAAAGUUACGCUAAUACCGCAUACGAUCUACGGAUGAAAGUGGGGGAUCGCAAGACCUCAUGCUCGUGGAGCGGCCGAUAUCUGAUUAGCUAGUUGGUAGGGUAAAAGCCUACCAAGGCAUCGAUCAGUAGCUGGUCUGAGAGGACGACCAGCCACACUGGAACUGAGACACGGUCCAGACUCCUACGGGAGGCAGCAGUGGGGAAUUUUGGACAAUGGGCGCAAGCCUGAUCCAGCAAUGCCGCGUGAGUGAAGAAGGCCUUCGGGUUGUAAAGCUCUUUUGUCAGGGAAGAAACGGUGUUUUCUAAUACAGAAUGCUAAUGACGGUACCUGAAGAAUAAGCACCGGCUAACUACGUGCCAGCAGCCGCGGUAAU
Molecule: ribosomal RNA, 471 nt
Filed under: uncultured bacterium
Lineage: Bacteria
Description: bacterial SSU rRNA
Rfam family: Bacterial small subunit ribosomal RNA
Source: RNAcentral